CUGAAGAUGAGUAACCCUCCUCUUUCUGUCUUCUCCUGCUGCUGUUUGUAGUUUCACUGCUGUGGUCUGUUCAGCUACAACGACUGGGAGAACAUCCCCGACUCCUGUGUGUGCAGCCAGGAGGAGGAGAAGGAGGGCAAGUGUCAGACUGUCGAAAACAACACUUUCAUGCUGCAGAGAAAGUCCGUCUACACUAAGACCUGCUUUCCCACCAUCAUGGACUACAUCCAGUUUCAUUACAACAUCAUACUUGUGAUCAGCUUCACUCCGGCUGUUCUAGCUCUGCUUGGCAUGAUUCUGUCCUCCAUCAUGAUCCACCAGCUGUAUUACCCCAACAGACCCACCAUCGUGGUCUCCAUGAUGCCACCAAAAUAUGAGGAACUGCACAACACCCCGGCAUACUAGCCAAAAAUUUCCUGCGUUCCAUCUCUGAACAGAGGUCGUAGCUUCCACCAGCUAUCAGCCAUCUUGAGAUCCCGGAGACCACUCACACCUGGACACGUGUAACCUGCUGUGUUUGUGGAAGACAGUGUUAAUGUUACUGAUUCGAUUUGUCACGCUAAUGUUAAAUGUACUUAAAAGAAAAGUCACAUUCCUUUGCUACCUCAUGUGAAGUUUGUUAGUAAUACAUUGAAUUCACUGAAGUUAUAUUUUGAAAAACUGAGAACUGCUGAUGCAGUUACUUGUAAAAAUGUUUAUAAAGGGAAAUAUUUUUGUACAUCGUUGUAUUUUUGGUGUUUUCUUUGUGUCAUAUUUGAUUCUUCUGAUGUAAACUUUAAAUCUAAAUGUUUUACAGGAUUAAAAGGUGACAAAAAAAAA
Oreochromis niloticus (Nile tilapia) is the source of this 819-nucleotide long non-coding RNA. RefSeq lists it as uncharacterized. NCBI's taxonomy places the organism in Eukaryota, Metazoa, Chordata, Actinopteri, Cichliformes, Cichlidae. The transcript has 5 exons. The record is from RefSeq and is a predicted model, not a curated record.